Molecule: ribosomal RNA, 468 nt
Filed under: uncultured bacterium
Lineage: Bacteria
Description: partial 16S ribosomal RNA
Rfam family: Bacterial small subunit ribosomal RNA
Source: RNAcentral
GACGAACGCUGGCGGCGUGCUUAACACAUGCAAGUCGAACGGAAAGACCCUGCUUUUGUGGGGUGCUCGAGUGGCGAACGGGUGAGUAACACGUGAGUAACCUGCCCUUGACUUUGGGAUAACUUCAGGAAACUGGGGCUAAUACCGGAUAGGAGCUCCUGCCGCAUGGUGGGGGUUGGAAAGUUUCGGCGGUUGGGGAUGGACUCGCGGCUUAUCAGCUUGUUGGUGGGGUAGUGGCUUACCAAGGCUUUGACGGGUAGCCGGCCUGAGAGGGUGACCGGCCACAUUGGGACUGAGAUACGGCCCAGACUCCUACGGGAGGCAGCAGUGGGGAAUAUUGCACAAUGGGCGGAAGCCUGAUGCAGCAACGCCGCGUGCGGGAUGACGGCCUUCGGGUUGUAAACCGCUUUCGCCUGUGACGAAGCGUGAGUGACGGUAAUGGGUAAAGAAGCACCGGCUAACUACGUG